This 497-nucleotide ribosomal RNA is filed under the name uncultured bacterium. RNAcentral describes it as "partial 16S ribosomal RNA". It matches the Rfam family "Bacterial small subunit ribosomal RNA", at positions 28 to 507 of the family's 1533-position model. The record is from RNAcentral.
GAUGAACGCUGGCGGCGUGCCUAAUACAUGCAAGUCGAGCGAACAGACGAGGAGCUUGCUCCUCUGACGUUAGCGGCGGACGGGUGAGUAACACGUGGAUAACCUACCUAUAAGACUGGGAUAACUUCGGGAAACCGGAGCUAAUACCGGAUAAUAUAUUGAACCGCAUGGUUCAAUAGUGAAAGACGGUUUUGCUGUCACUUAUAGAUGGAUCCGCGCCGCAUUAGCUAGUUGGUAAGGUAACGGCUUACCAAGGCGACGAUGCGUAGCCGACCUGAGAGGGUGAUCGGCCACACUGGAACUAACACACGGUCCAGACUCCUACGGGAGGCAGCAGUAGGAAAUCUUCCGCAAUGGGCGAAUGCCUGACGGAGCAACGCCGCGUGAGUGAUGAAGGUCUUCGGAUCGUAAAACUCUGUUAUUAGGGAAGACCAAAUGUGUAAGUAACUAUGCACGUCUUGACGGUACCUAAUCAGAAAGCCACGGCUAACUACGUG